Molecule: non-coding RNA, 71 nt
Organism: Endogone sp. FLAS-F59071
Lineage: Eukaryota; Fungi; Mucoromycota; Endogonomycetes; Endogonales; Endogonaceae
Source: the annotation of a GenBank genome assembly
AAGGUUGUAGUUCAAUGGUAGAGCAGAUGUCUCCAAAACAUCUGAUAGUGGUUCAAAUCCGCUCAACCUUG